GCAGGAAGUAGUUUAAGAAGAAUG
This 24-nucleotide transfer RNA is filed under the name Antechinomys laniger. Its description in RNAcentral is "partial tRNA-Pro". Lineage: Eukaryota; Metazoa; Chordata; Mammalia; Dasyuromorphia; Dasyuridae. The record is from RNAcentral.